UCUACGGGUGGCAGCAGUGAGGAAUAUUGGUCAAUGGGCGCGAGCCUGAACCAGCCAAGUCGCGUGAGGGAAGACGGUCCUAUGGAUUGUAAACCUCUUUUGUCGGGGAGCAAAAGACGCCACGCGUGGCGUUCCGAGCGUACCCGAAGAAAAAGCAUCGGCUAACUCCGUGCCAGUAGCCGCGGUAAUACGGAGGAUGCGGGCGUUAUACGGAUUUAGUGGGGUUAAAGGGUGCGCAGGCGGAAGAUCAAGUCAGCGGUAAAAUUGAGAGGCUCAACCUCUUCGAGCCGUUGAAACUGGUGUUCUUGAGUGAGUGAGAAGUAUGCGGAAUGCGUGGUGUAGCGGUGAAAUGCAUAGAUAUCACGCAGAACUCCGAUUGCGAAGGCAGCAUACCGGCGCUCAACUGACGCUCAUGCACGAAAGUGUGGGUAUCGAACAGGAUUAGAUACCCCUGUAGUC
This 459-nucleotide ribosomal RNA is filed under the name uncultured bacterium. Its description in RNAcentral is "partial 16S ribosomal RNA". It matches the Rfam family "Bacterial small subunit ribosomal RNA", at positions 338 to 795 of the family's 1533-position model. The record is from RNAcentral.